CGCACCUUGCACUCUUUGGUAUUCCGAAGAGUAUGUCUGUUUGAGUGUCAUGAAACUCUCAACCCCCCUGUUUUGUAAUGAAACGGGCGUGGGCUUGGAUUAUGGCUGGUUGUCGGCGUCAUUGCCGGCUCAGCUGAAAUACACGAGCAACCCAUUUGAAAUAGACGGUUUGACUCGGCGUAAUAAUUAUUUCGCUGAGGACGUCUUCUUUAAAGUUAGCGGUGCUUCUAAUGCGCUUUUUAAUUAAAGCAUCUUAAGCUUUAGACCUCAAAUCAGUCAGGACUACCCGCUGAACUUAA
RNAcentral lists this unclassified non-coding RNA (299 nucleotides) under Cystastrum externum. Its description in RNAcentral is "Occultifur externus partial contains 5.8S ribosomal RNA, internal transcribed spacer 2, and large subunit ribosomal RNA". Lineage: Eukaryota; Fungi; Basidiomycota; Cystobasidiomycetes; Cystobasidiales; Cystobasidiaceae. The record is from RNAcentral.